GCGCCCGUAGCUCAGCUGGAUAGAGCGUUAGGUUGCGGACCUAAAGGUCGGGGGUUCGAAUCCCUUCGGGCGUACCA
RNAcentral lists this transfer RNA (77 nucleotides) under Chloroflexota bacterium. Its description in RNAcentral is "Chloroflexi bacterium tRNA-Arg". It matches the Rfam family "tRNA". Rfam says of the family: Transfer RNA (tRNA) molecules are approximately 80 nucleotides in length. Their secondary structure includes four short double-helical elements and three loops (D, anti-codon, and T loops). RNAcentral also lists the same sequence under 1 other name. The record is from RNAcentral. Lineage: Bacteria; Bacillati; Chloroflexota.